Molecule: long non-coding RNA, 574 nt
Organism: Hydra vulgaris (swiftwater hydra)
Lineage: Eukaryota; Metazoa; Cnidaria; Hydrozoa; Anthoathecata; Hydridae
Source: RefSeq, a predicted model, not a curated record
CAAUUUUCGUGUAUUGUAGAGGAGCUACCUACAAUUAAUUUGAAAAUAAUGAGUCCUUUAGCUAAUACGGAGUGAAAUUUAACCGUAGGCAUAAUAUAGUUAUUAUAUUUUAUUAUAUAAUAUAUUAUAUUUUUAUAUUAUAUAAUAUAUUAUAUUUUUGUCGCACAACUAGAGAAACAGAUAUUCUUCCGGUCGCCGGACAAGUAGACGCAGCCUAUAAUAUUUCAUUGGCAAAAACUGCAAUCUAAUAGCAUAAGUUAAUUAUUCAAGAUAGAAAUGGUUACUUCUCCAGUAUUAACAAAAGCUUAUAACUUGCUUUUUAAGAGGUCCUCAACGUUUGCUGUGACUAUAAUUGUUGGAGCCUUUCUUUUUGAAAGAACUUUUGACCCUAUCAUGGAUGGUAUUUGGGAACGAAGAAAUCAAGGGAAAUUGUGGAAUCACAUCAAAUCAAAGUAUGAAUCGCCAGCUGAAAACUAGUCAACAUGAUACGAUGUUAUUGAACUUUAAUAGUUGCAAUUGUUACUUUAAAAUAUUGUUACUGUAACUUUGAGAUGAUUGCGAUAUUUGAAUGAAA